RNAcentral lists this ribosomal RNA (671 nucleotides) under Eurymetopum sp. UPOL001189. RNAcentral's name for it is "eukaryotic LSU rRNA". It matches the Rfam family "Eukaryotic large subunit ribosomal RNA", at positions 650 to 1275 of the family's 3401-position model. The record is from RNAcentral. RNAcentral also lists the same sequence under 1 other name. Lineage: Eukaryota; Metazoa; Arthropoda; Insecta; Coleoptera; Cleridae.
CGUCUUGAAACACGGACCAAGGAGUCUAGCAUGUGCGCGAGUCAUUGGGAAUAACUAAACCUAAAGGCGUAAUGAAAGUGAAGGUUCGCCUAGCGCGGACCGAGGGAGGAUGGGCGAUCCACGUUUUCCGUGCCGCCCCGCACUCCCGGGGCGUCUCAUUCUCAUUGCGAGAAGAGGCGCACCAAGAGCGUACACGCUGGGACCCGAAAGAUGGUGAACUAUGCCUGGUCAGGACGAAGUCAGGGGAAACCCUGAUGGAGGUCCGUAGCGAUUCUGACGUGCAAAUCGAUCGUCGGAACUGGGUAUAGGGGCGAAAGACUAAUCGAACCAUCUAGUAGCUGGUUCCCUCCGAAGUUUCCCUCAGGAUAGCUGGCGCUCGUCGCCUACGAGUCUCAUCCGGUAAAGCGAAUGAUUAGAGGCAUUGGGGUCGAAACGGCCUCAACCUAUUCUCAAACUUUAAAUGGGUGAGAUCUCCGGCUUGCUCGAACUUAUGAAGCCGCGAGACACGGAUCAGAGUGCCAAGUGGGCCAUUUUUGGUAAGCAGAACUGGCGCUGUGGGAUGAACCAAACGCCGAGUUAAAGCGCCUAAAUCGACGCUUAUGGGAUACCAUGAAAGGCGUUGGUAACUUAAGACAGCAGGACGGUGGCCAUGGAAGUCGGAAUCCGCUAAG